CAACUGUAGUCCUCCUUGGCACAUACCAUUUGAAGGAAGAGCAAAAAUAUUAGGUUUCAGGCUGCAAAAUGAAGCUUCUUCUCCUUACAACAUUUGUAACCAUAAUUUGCUAUGUCAAUGCAGG
Long non-coding RNA from Monopterus albus (swamp eel), 124 nucleotides. RefSeq lists it as uncharacterized. The record is from RefSeq and is a predicted model, not a curated record. The transcript has 3 exons. Lineage: Eukaryota; Metazoa; Chordata; Actinopteri; Synbranchiformes; Synbranchidae.